Amphimedon queenslandica is the source of this 294-nucleotide long non-coding RNA. RefSeq lists it as uncharacterized. The transcript has 3 exons. NCBI's taxonomy places the organism in Eukaryota, Metazoa, Porifera, Demospongiae, Haplosclerida, Niphatidae. The record is from RefSeq and is a predicted model, not a curated record.
GGUGGAUCGGUAUUUUAAGUGUGAAAACUGCUUAUGGUAUUUGUUCAUUGAUUAUUGUUUUAUUAGAAUUAAUUUGUUUAAAGGUCCUACUUGUGCAAAUAGAGUAUCGAAGAGUAAAAGUAAAAGCGCAUUCUCUAUCUCAGGAUUUAAAUAAAGAAGUUGCCUUUUCUGUUAAUGUACAAUGAACAUCUCAUAAUCAAGAAACAGUUUGUUCUAUGGACAUUGCCGUAUUCUUUAAAAGAUUGUGUUAAUGGUUGCUGAUUAUCCUGAAAUGAACGACAGAACUAACAUGGU